GAUGAACGCUGGCGGCGUGCCUAAUACAUGCAAGUCGAGCGAACGGACGAGAAGCUUGCUUCUCUGAUGUUAGCGGCGGACGGGUGAGUAACACGUGGAUAACCUACCUAUAAGACUGGGAUAACUUCGGGAAACCGUAGCUAAUACCGGAUAAUAUUUUGGACCGCAUGGUUCAAAAGUGAAAGACGGUCUUGCUGUCACUUAUAGCUGGAUCCGCGCUGCAUUAGCUAGUUGGUAAGGUAACGGCUUACCAAGGCAACGAUGCAUAGCCGACCUGAGAGGGUGAUCGGCCACACUGGAACUGAGACACGGUCCAGACUCCUACGGGAGGCAGCAGUAGGGAAUCUUCCGCAAUGGGCGAAAGCCUGACGGAGCAACGCCGCGUGGGUGAUGAAGGUCUUCGGAUCGUAAAACUCUGUUAUUAGGGAAGAACAUAUGUGUAAGUAACUGUGCACAUCUUGACGGUACCUAAUCAGAAAGCCACGGCUAACUACGUG
This 497-nucleotide ribosomal RNA is filed under the name uncultured bacterium. RNAcentral's name for it is "partial 16S ribosomal RNA". It matches the Rfam family "Bacterial small subunit ribosomal RNA", at positions 28 to 507 of the family's 1533-position model. The record is from RNAcentral.